Molecule: ribosomal RNA, 400 nt
Filed under: phytoplankton environmental sample
Lineage: Eukaryota
Description: partial small subunit ribosomal RNA
Rfam family: Eukaryotic small subunit ribosomal RNA
Source: RNAcentral
AGCUCCAAUAGCGUAUAUUAAAGUUGUUGCAGUUAAAAAGCUCGUAGUUGGAUUUCGGGGCGGCCCGGCCGGUCCGCCGCAAGGCGAGCACUGGUCGGGCGCCCUUCCUCUCGAAGGCUUCGACUGCUCUUCGUUGUGGUGGUCGAGGAGUUCGGGACGUUUACUUUGAAAAAAUUAGAGUGUUCAAGGCAGGCUCGCCAGCUUGAAUACAUGAGCAUGGAAUAAUGGAAUAGGACUACGGUCCCUAUUUCGUUGGUUUGACGGACCGAAGUAAUGAUUAAGAGGGACAAUUGGGGGCAUCCGUAUUUCGUAGUCAGAGGUGAAAUUCUUGGACCUACGAAAGACGAACAACUGCGAAAGCAUUUGCCAAGAGUGUUUUCAUUAAUCAAGAACGAAAGUA